This 497-nucleotide ribosomal RNA is filed under the name uncultured bacterium. RNAcentral describes it as "partial 16S ribosomal RNA". It matches the Rfam family "Bacterial small subunit ribosomal RNA", at positions 28 to 507 of the family's 1533-position model. The record is from RNAcentral.
GAUGAACGCUGGCGGCGUGCCUAAUACAUGCAAGUCGAGCGAACAGACGAGGAGCUUGCUCCUCUGAUGUUAGCGGCGGACGGGUGAGUAACACGUGGAUAACCUACCUAUAAGACUGGGUUAACUUCGGGAAACCGGAGCUAAUACCGGAUAACAUGUUGAACCGCAUGGUUCAACAGUGAAAGACGGUCUUGCUGUCACUUAUAGAUGGAUCCGCGCCGCAUUAGCUAGUUGGUAAGGUAACGGCUUACCAAGGCAACGAUGCGUAGCCGACCUGAGAGGGUGAUCGGCCACACUGGAACUGAGACACGGUCCAGACUCCUACGGGAGGCAGCAGUAGGGAAUCUUCCGCAAUGGGCGAAAGCCUGACGGAGCAACGCCGCGUGAGUGAAGAAGGUCUUCGGAUCGUAAAACUCUGUUAUUAGGGAAGAACAAAUGUGUAAGUAACUAUGCACGUCUUGACGGUACCUAAUCAGAAAGCCACGGCUAACUACGUG